CGAACCGCGAUGAGGAAGAGGAGUAAUCAUUUAGUCGAGACUACAGAGAGCUGGUGGGUAGUGUGAACCAGCGUCGAGCGAAUGAUGAAUGGGCUUCUGAGCAGCAAACCGAACCUUUGUAGUAGGCUUUGCCGUGAACGUCCACACGUUACAAUGGAUACCGUAUCAUGUCGUACGGGUGAUAAGUGAUUUUAAAGCGCGCUUUAAAAUAAUAAGGGUGGUACCACGGUCCAUUCGUCCCUUUU
This 245-nucleotide non-coding RNA is filed under the name Priestia koreensis. RNAcentral's name for it is "Bacillus koreensis T-box sequence". It matches the Rfam family "T-box leader". Rfam says of the family: Uncharged tRNA acts as the effector for transcription antitermination of genes in the T-box leader family. The record is from RNAcentral. Lineage: Bacteria; Bacillati; Bacillota; Bacilli; Caryophanales; Bacillaceae.